Molecule: long non-coding RNA, 2384 nt
Organism: Acanthopagrus latus (yellowfin seabream)
Lineage: Eukaryota; Metazoa; Chordata; Actinopteri; Spariformes; Sparidae
Exons: 2
Source: RefSeq, a predicted model, not a curated record
CACACACACACACGCACACACAGGUGCAGGUGAUGAAGAGCCGAGCAGCGAGAACAUCAUCUGGUUCCUGUUCACACUGAACAUCACAGACAGCGAGUUGUGUUGAAGUUACCGACCAACAAACACAACGACACACCGUCAGGCUGUGAGACCCAGAUCCUACCAGCAGGAGGCAGCACAACACUACUCAUGUUGCUGUGAUCACAGGAGGGAAGACACAAAGGCAGGCAUGUACACACACACACACACACCUACACACGCACACACACAGUGGUGAGUGUCAGCUGUUCGUCACACACACGCUGUCUGACCUUCUCGUCCUGUUUAACCACCAGUUUGUGUUGAAAUGUGAGAUCAUCAGAAAACAGCUUCUGACCUACAACACGUCUCAGCCUGUGUUCACAUUAAUUCGACCACCUGAUCGACUGAUAUUAAAUCACACAGCUACUCCAAGUUUCAGCUCCUUAGUAACUUCACGACAGUGAAGCAUCUGAUGAACGCGGAGAAAUGGUGAUACUGUAGGGAAAGAAUGUGAAUUUGAGAACCACAGACAGAUGAGACCUCACUCUCUCUCUCUCUCUGAUGUGAUUUACUACAUUGUUUACUGGACUCCACCACUGGCAUGUGAUCCAGACCGGCCUCAUCGUACGAUCCCCGUCCUGAAACCAGAACAUGAAACGCACUGAAGCGCUCCAGAAAACUUCCAGUCUUUCUUAGAAAGAGACCAGAGGAGCCGUCUGACUGUGGAGCGAGGACAUUCUGUGGCUCUUCCAUCACAAAUGUAACACAUGUAACACAUGUAACACAUGUAACACAUGUAACACCCUCCUCUUCAUCGCUGCCGUCCAUCACACACAUGAACCGGCCGGUUACAUGUUCAGCUGUCGCACGUCGUCAGAGUUUGGACCUUCAGUUCCUCGACCGACAGUCUCCAUCACUUCCUGAACACAUACACCAACAUUUAACAUUCGCAAAAGGUCGCGCUGAUGGACUUCACCCGAUCCAGCCUGAGCCUGGUGGGUGUCAGACCUGCAGGUACAGAAGACAGACGGAGCUCUGACCCUCCGGACCACCCAGGUGUGGAAACACCCACUCAAUGUAAAAAUAAGUCCAGAGACGGAGGAGGGAGAGCUCAGAGCUCCACCGACACGGAGGAGUUUAAGUACAGCUCAGAGCUGCAGCCUCCAUCAGGGUCUCAUUAACCACAUCUGAACUUUACGCUCCUUUAAACUUCCACAUCUGAAAACAAAAUGUACUUUUUACUCUUUUACUAAAGACCCUGAACUCUUCUUCCACCGCCGUUUCCCACCUUCACAUGAACGCGGCGUGACUGUUUUGGUUGAACGUCUGAUCUCUGGGCUUUUCUGUUCACCUGAUUUCAGUUGAAUUGCUCUUUUAUCAAACGUCGAGGUGUUUUUCUAGCAAACACGGUCAAAACAGAACCUCUCUCUAACUUCAAGAGGGAGACGGAGGCAGAGAAAACAGAGACACAGGCAGUAAAUCCUGCGGAAAACAGAGAGAAGCAGUUUCCACAGCCCAACACACACACACACACACACACACACACACACACUGCAGACUUUGUGUCGUAAAGCUCAACGUAAACACGACCUGUUCUCUCAGGUGUGUGUGGGAGCGCGGGGAGGACAGAGGGUAAUUUCCACGUUGCAAACAGAAGCUCAGUGUCGGCGAGCUGUUAGUCCGCCUGACGUCUGGCCGCUGUGGAAACACACGGACAGGCUGCGUGUUGUCGGACUGUUUCUACAAGACUCUGGAUCCAAACCCACGAAAACACAAAGACCUGAUCUCAGAAGCUGAUCUGCACCGAGUCGACUCGUUCUCUCUGUUAGAGGUGAAACACAGUUCAGACGAAACGUAUUCUCACCUGAAAUGUGCUGCAACACCUCACGUCCACAGAGCUCUGAUGUGGCAGUAAAUACUACAGAAGUGCCUGAAGAGCUGACAGACGUAACGCCUCGUCUCAGCCAGAGUCUUAAUAAUUUAAUCCCGACUUAAUUCUAUUUGAGACAAACACACGUCACAAGCCAAGUUAGUAUGAGAAGAGUCUCUUCCAUCACUGUCAAUCAAAAUCAAAACCCUCGUCUCCACCCAGACGUCCGGUUCAGUUCAGGGCUGCACCAGAUUUCACUUCAGCAUCGACGUCGAACAGUUGAAUCAAACAGUUGAUGGAAUGUCGCUCAAAUGGAAAAGGCUGUUGAACAAAUAUAUAUAUUUUAUGUGAGAUUUAUUUUAAGUGUCUAAAACACGUCAGCUGAUGGUCAUCGACUGCAGGUUCAACCUCACAUCGAAAAAUCUCGACUAGAACUUUAAGUUGAGCUCACUGAUGUCAGGAAAAUAAAAACAUAACAUUUUAUUAAGUUAUA